RNAcentral lists this ribosomal RNA (234 nucleotides) under uncultured bacterium. RNAcentral's name for it is "partial 16S ribosomal RNA". It matches the Rfam family "Bacterial small subunit ribosomal RNA", at positions 1258 to 1500 of the family's 1533-position model. The record is from RNAcentral.
CGACAGGAUGCCAAUCCCCAAAACCUCUCUCAGUUCGGAUCGAAGUCUGCAACCCGACUUCGUGAAGCUGGAUUCGCUAGUAAUCGCGCAUCAGCCAUGGCGCGGUGAAUACGUUCCCGGGCCCUGUACACACCGCCCGUCAAGCCAUGAAAGCCGGGGGUACCUGAAGUACGUAACCGCAAGGAUCGUCCUAGGGUAAAACUGGUAAUUGGGGCUAAGUCGUAACAAGGUACC